Xiphophorus hellerii (green swordtail) is the source of this 2163-nucleotide long non-coding RNA. RefSeq lists it as uncharacterized. The record is from RefSeq and is a predicted model, not a curated record. Lineage: Eukaryota; Metazoa; Chordata; Actinopteri; Cyprinodontiformes; Poeciliidae. The transcript is spliced from 4 exons.
UGCAUUUCUUAACAUCUCCGCUCCUGCGUCUCCCAAAGUUGAGGUACAAUCCAGUUAAUUGUCUCAUGUUUUUAUCUCAAAUACAUGAGUUGACAUUUGACUAAUCUGACUAAAAAUGAACUACUCUAAUAAAUCAAAUCAAAUAAUUUAUCCAAUGAAUUUAUUUGCUUAGAUUUUUGUCAAUUUGAAACAGAAAUUAUGUAUAAGUUUACCAGCCAUCAUCAGCUUAUCAGCCUCUAGUUGUUUAUACUGGUCCUGGUUCUGCUGGAAAAUCCCUCUAGUUAAGAGGGGAUGGUUCCUUUCCGCUGUCACCACAUGCUUGGGGGAAUUGCUGCAAAAUCUAGUUAAAGUAAAUUCUUGCUCAAACAAAGCAGCUUUCCCAACAAGUUUCAUUACCAGCCACUGCUUUUCACGAAGUUGUUGCUGAUUUAUAAUCCAACUCAUAUGUCAACCUAACUUUUUUUUUUUUUUGCUGUAAAUUGUACAAAUUUCUACGGAAAAUGUAAGCUGUGUCUAAGAUUUCACUCAUUACCAAGCAGUUUUUAAAACCUAUCUGCUUGAUUUGAUUUGGAAUAAUUUUAUUGACUAGAAUUUAAUAACCUCAAAAGAAACAUGUUUUACAGUGUAAAACCUAAUUUAACCCUUUAUUUGUUGCUAGAAAUGGGUUAUAUUUUUUAAACUAAUAGAUCUGGAUGAUUAAUGAGAUCACAGAUCUGACACACAUGCUUUCUUUUACUACAUAAAGCUUUUUUAAAAGCAUUUUCUGAAAAUUCCCAAAACACUCACUCUCUCUCUCUCUCUCUUUUGAACACAAGUUUUAAGAGUUCCUUCAGAGCUCCUCUGCAUCACAGUUAAAAAAAAAAAAAAGAUAAAGAAAGAAAAAGAAAACAUUGUGUAUAUUUUCAGUGACCUCUUUACUGGGACAAAGGAGGCUGCAGAUCGAUUCGUUACACCUUUUUAGCGAGGCUUCUGGUGAAGGGGAGGGGCUCUGGAGCCACUGGAGACUCCAUUAAUAGCCUCCUCUCCGUCCAAACUAUUAUCUACCAUAAAGUGUUUAUAAAGAGCCCCCAACUUGAGCCUUAAUAUGUUGUUUCAAAUGAGGCGACGUGAGGGUGGUUAAGAGGGAGAUCAGAUUAUUUUCUCUUUAAAUAAUCACUUGGAUGGCAUGAAAUCCAGCGCUGUGCGCAUCGCGCAUCGGACUUUCUUUUUUGUUUUUGUUAUUAUUAUUUUUUUUCAUUCCUCCAGCUUCAUGGAUUCCGAUCUUACAGAAACGGAGUCAAAACUUUCUCCAGUUCUAAUUCUGCUCUGACACAAUCGUGCAAAGGAGAAGACACACUGCAGAGAAGUCCUGCACGCAGGAUGUCGAAUCAGGUUGUCUUAAAGAAACAAGGACGGAUGCAGGACAGUUCAGUUGAUUGUCGAAGGAAUUGGCCCGACUCGACUAUAAUCAAUACGUUUUAAGAAAAUGGAGCUACGAUCCAGCUGUGCUUCUAUCUCACAAACAUUACUCUGUCUGAUCUUGGAAAGCUAUUAUCUCUCCGACAAAAGACGGAUCUCAGAAACAGAAUGACUCUGUCUUCGAUCUGACUCAGAAUGGAAAGUCUUUACGAGACAAUUUUUGUUGGACGCCAGAAAAGCUUGUGAAAUAUUUGCCUUUAACGAGACGUUUCCUCCUGCCAGAUAUCACCCUGAUCAAUGACGCUUCUGCUCCAAGAGAAACGACAAUACCUGGAGCCACGCAGAUCCUCCUGAAUUGCUGCUGAAGAAGACGGUCGCACAUUCCUGAUUCUGGUUCUGCUGGUUCCUUCUUGUUAAAUCACAUUUGUUUUUACAGUGUUAAAUCAGAAAUAUUUAGAUUAAAGUGGAAUGCAUUUGUUUAGAUUUAAACUGAAAUCUGACUUCAGAAAAAAAAUUGUAUUUAAUGUAUCGUGAUUCGGAUGGGUUCAGCUUUUAUGUAUUAAAAGCUCACUUGGAUGACUUUAUGUAGUUGAGGGCCUGUACUUAAUUUAUUUAUGUAUAUAAAACUUGUUAGAAUGCCUCAAAUCUGUACCAAAAGAUUUUGUAAUAUUACGUCUUAUUUUUUCAUUACUUAUUUGACUUUAAUAUAUGUUACCUAAUUAUUUUCUAAUAAAACACAUUUUCUGCGUGGUUUAUCUGCAUUUA